RNAcentral lists this unclassified non-coding RNA (1432 nucleotides) under Hevea brasiliensis (rubber tree). Lineage: Eukaryota; Viridiplantae; Streptophyta; Magnoliopsida; Malpighiales; Euphorbiaceae. The record is from RNAcentral.
GUAAAGUCUCCGCUUGCAAACGUAAGCACAGUUCAAAAGAUAGCUCACAGAACAAACUGAAAGAGCGAAGCUUGUCAGAGCUGAUGGAUAAUAUGGAAUGUGAGUAUUCUCCAGAUGGUGAGGAUGAUUUGGAUGAAAAAUCAUUCACUUCCAGCAAGAAGAGGAAAGGUGUUGAUUCUCGUACUGAUAGAUCGGACAAGAAAACAAGUGCUUAUGCUCCCAAAGUGUUGACCACUGCGUCUGUAUCUCCUAAAACAUCCUUUCGUAUUGGUGAAUGCAUUCAAAGAGUGGCAAGCCAAUUAACUCGCUCAGCCUCGCUUCUGAAGGGCAGCAGUGAUCAAAGUGGGGCUGAUGUUCAAUCACAGGACUCUCCAAAGGGCAAAGUUGUGAUUCCAACUGAACUACCUUCUGCAAAUGAGUUGCUCUCACAGCUUCAGUUGGUGGCACGGGCUCCAAUGAAAGGCUACAACUUAAAAACCAUCACGAAUUUCUUUUCAGGUUUUAGAAAUUCGGUUGCUGUGGGGCAAAAAUCAAUGAAGCAGAAUUUGUCGGCGGGUAGAGCUGCUGGUGGUCGUAAGAAAAGAGCUUCACAAACUGUGGCUGGUUUUGCUGAAGAAUUCGAGUUUGAUGAUGUAAAUGAUUCUUAUUGGACAGACAGGGUUGUACAAAACUGUGGAGAGGAGCAGCCAUUGCAGAAUAAUCAGAGUGUGACGGUUCAAGAUCCAGAGAAAUCCAGUAAACCAGCUCGUAGAUCAUACACUAGAAAACGAAAAUCGAGUGUCGAUCAUGACAUGACACCAGGCGUUCCUCCUGAGGACAUUGAGAAGAGGAAACAUGAGCCAGCAGAACUCAUUUUAAUUUUUGCAGAGGGUAGUCCUCUUCCAUCUGAAAUGAACCUUAAUAAAAUGUUUAGGCGGUUUGGGCCAUUGAAGGAAUUAGAAACUGAAGUUCAUCAGGAGUCUUCUCGUGCUAGAGUAGUCUUUAAAAGGGGUUCUGACGCAGAGGUUGCUCAUAGUAGUGUAGGAAAGUUCAACAUCUUUGGGUCACGGCAAGUGACAUAUGAACUCAGCUACACACCAGUUAUCUCAUUUAAGCCGAUGCUCCUUACAGUUACGCCAGGCCUGGAGGGAGUUAUUUGAUGCUUCAGCUCCAAAGUGGAUAACAGCUUGAGGUUAAACAAGAAAUGAUUAUUAUUGCAGGGAAGGCCAACAGUAGCAUCUUUCUUUCAUUAGAAGAUAGCGGGUGAAUGCCAUCUUUUUGUAAAGAUUAAAACUUUAUUUCUGUCUGUAUUUUCUUCUCUUUCUAUUUCCCCAGAGUUUCUCUCCUGCUCCAUUAGAAAUGACAUCGAUCAACUUCCCAGUUCCCUCUUUAUCUUUAUGGAUAAAGUAUAUUAGAAAAUCAUUUACUAUCAAAUUACUCAAGUGGGAUGGGC